CCUCCUUAAAAAAUAAUCGCUUAGGAUAGGCGUUCACACGAAUAACUUGCUUUUACCUAAAUCAUUUCUUUACAGAUUUGAGAUUAAGGAGCGUUCUUUAACAUUUUUAUAAGUUCAAUCAAGUCACAUCAUAGUGUCUUAGUUUUUUAAUUUAGAUAUGAAUGAUGUGCAAAUGUCACCAAACCCGUCAUGUUUUAGAACAUAAGUUUGGUGUACAUACUGCAAAGUAAUUUUGGCGAAUGACAAUAGAUACUUGAAGAACAUUAAUCAUUAAGUUGUUUGAUGUAAUAUGGUCAAGUAAUUAAGCGCAUACGGUGGAUGCCUUGGCAGCUAGAGGCGAUGAAGGACGUAGUAACUUGCGAUAAGCUUCGGGGAGCCGGUAAACAGGCUUUGAUCCGAAGAUUUCCGAAUGGGGAAACCCAAGGGCGA
Molecule: unclassified non-coding RNA, 429 nt
Filed under: uncultured marine bacterium 311
Lineage: Bacteria
Description: partial 16S-23S ribosomal RNA intergenic spacer
Rfam family: Bacterial large subunit ribosomal RNA (bases 292-429)
Source: RNAcentral